GAUGAACGCUAGCUACAGGCUUAACACAUGCAAGUCGAGCGGAGAUAUAUCGGAGAUUCUUCGGAUGAUCUUUUAUAUCUUAGCGGCGGAUGGGUGAGUAACACGUGGGUAACCUGCCCUUCACUGGGGGAUAACAGUUGGAAACGACUGUUAAUACCGCAUAUGCGCACGGGACCGCAUGGUCCCGGGCGGAAAGAUUUAUCGGUGGAGGAUGGGCCCGCGUCGGAUUAACUUGUUGGUGAGGUAACGGCCCACCAAGGUGAUGAUCCGUAGCCGACCUGAGAGGGUGACCGGCCACAUUGGGACUGAGACACGGCCCAAACUCC
Molecule: ribosomal RNA, 326 nt
Filed under: uncultured Butyrivibrio sp.
Lineage: Bacteria; Bacillati; Bacillota; Clostridia; Lachnospirales; Lachnospiraceae
Description: bacterial SSU rRNA
Rfam family: Bacterial small subunit ribosomal RNA
Source: RNAcentral